RNAcentral lists this ribosomal RNA (567 nucleotides) under Triticum aestivum (bread wheat). RNAcentral's name for it is "partial small subunit ribosomal RNA". The record is from RNAcentral. Lineage: Eukaryota; Viridiplantae; Streptophyta; Magnoliopsida; Poales; Poaceae.
AUGGAGGGGACAGAAGGCGAAGGAGGUGGAGGAUACCGGCUUCAAGCUGGAAACAGAAAUGGCGUAGGCAUCUUGAUCAACAAGAGCCUCAAGUAUGGAGCGGUAGACAUCAAGAGACGGAUUAUCCUGGUCAGGCUGGUAGUUGGGGACUUAGUUCUCAAUGUUAUCAACGCGUAUGCCCCGCAAGUAGGCCACAAUGAGAACACCAAGAGGGAGUUCUGGGAAGGCCUGGAAGACAUGGUUAGGAGUGUACCGAUUGGCGAGAAGCUCUUCAUAGGAGGAGACCUCAAUGGCCACGUGGGUACAUCUAACACAGGUUUUGAAUGGGCGCAUGGGGGCUUUGGUUAUGGCAUCAGGAAUCAAGAAGGCGAAGAUGUCUUAAGCUUUCCUCUAGCCUACGACAUGAUUGUAGCUAACACCCUCUUUAGAAAGAGAGAAUCACAUCUGGUGACUUUUAGUAGUGGCCAACACUCUAGCCAGAUUGAUUUCAUCCUCUCGAGAAGAGAAGAUAGGCAUGCGUGCCUAGACUGUAAGGUGAUACCUGGAGAGUGUUGUACCUCAGCAUAA